AGUGAACGCUGGCGGUAGGCCUAACACAUGCAAGUCGAACGGCAGCACAGUAAGAGCUUGCUCUUACGGGUGGCGAGUGGCGGACGGGUGAGGAAUACAUCGGAAUCUACUUUUUCGUGGGGGAUAACGUAGGGAAACUUACGCUAAUACCGCAUACGACCUACGGGUGAAAGCAGGGGAUCUUCGGACCUUGCGCGAUUGAAUGAGCCGAUGUCGGAUUAGCUAGUUGGCGGGGUAAAGGCCCACCAAGGCGACGACCCGUAGCUGGUCUGAGAGGAUGAUCAGCCACACUGGAACUGAGACACGGUCCAGACUCCUACGGGAGGCAGCAGUGGGGAAUAUUGGACAAUGGGCGCAAGCCUGAUCCAGCCAUACCGCGUGGGUGAAGAAGGCCUUCGGGUUGUAAGGCCCUUUUGUUGGGAAAGAAAAGCAGCAGGUUAAUACCCCGCUGUUCUGACGGUACCCAAAGAAUAAGCACCGGCUAACUUCGGG
This 492-nucleotide ribosomal RNA is filed under the name uncultured bacterium. RNAcentral describes it as "partial 16S ribosomal RNA". It matches the Rfam family "Bacterial small subunit ribosomal RNA", at positions 29 to 507 of the family's 1533-position model. The record is from RNAcentral.